This 218-nucleotide long non-coding RNA is filed under the name Nicotiana benthamiana. Its description in RNAcentral is "long non-coding RNA (NBEN_LNC040650)". Lineage: Eukaryota; Viridiplantae; Streptophyta; Magnoliopsida; Solanales; Solanaceae. The record is from RNAcentral.
GAGAGUGCACAUAUCAUGAAUGGACUUAUCAUCCUUCAUCUUGAAGAGCUCAUAAUCAGUAGUUAGCACAUCAAUCUUCGACUUCUUAACUUGAGUUGUCCCUUCAUGUGCUGUUUGAAGAGCUUCCCAGAUUUCUUUUGGCAGAUUGACAUGCGGAAAUCUUGUUGUAUUCGUUUGGUCCAACGCCAUACACGAGGAUAUUUUUUGCUCGAAAAGUC